AAAGAGUGCGUAAUAGCUCACUAGUCGAGAGAUCCUGCGCCGAAGAUGUCCGGGGCUCAAACUUACCACCGAAGCUACGGGUUCACACUUAUGUGUGAGCGGUAGAGGAGCGUCGUAAUCGGGCUGAAGUCGUACCGUAAGGAGCGGUGGACUGAUUACGAGUGAGAAUGUUGGCAUUAGUAGCGAGAUGUGGGUGAGAAUCCCACAGGCCGAAUAUCUAAGGUUUCCUCAGGAAGGUUCGUCCGCUGAGGGUUAGUCGGGACCUAAGCCGAGGCCGAAAGGCGUAGGCGAUGGACAAUCGGUUGAUAUUCCGAUACCACUACUGAUCGUUAUUAUCGAUGGUGUGACGGAGAAGGAUAGAGUGUGCUAGCUAUUGGAUGCUAGUCUAAGCGUUUAGGGAGUUAGGAAAGGCAAAUCCGUCCUAACAAUUCUGAGGCGUGAUGGGGAAGGUUCUACGGAACCGAAGUACUUGAUUCCAUGCUUCCAAGAAAAGCAUCUAGAGAGAGAUGUAGUGCCCGUACCGCAAACCGACACAGGUAGAUGAGGAGAGAAUCCUAAGGCCGGCGGAAGAAUCACAGUUAAGGAACUAGGCAAAUUGACCCCGUAACUUAGGGAGAAGGGGUGCCUGUGAGAGCAGGCCGCAGAGAAUAGGCCCAAGCAACUGUUUAGCAAAAACACAGGUCUCUGCUAAAGCGAAAGCUGAUGUAUAGGGGCUGACGCCUGCCCGGUGCUGGAAGGUUAAGGGGAACACUUAGCGCAAGCGAAGGUGUACGGUCCUAAGGUAGCGAAAUUCCUUGUCAGGUAAGUUCUGACCCGCACGAAUGGCGUAAUGACUUGGGCACUGUCUCAACUGUAAAUCCGGCGAAGUUGUAGUGCGAGUGAAGAUGCUCGCUACCCGCGAUUGGACGGAAAGACCCCGUAGAGCUUUACUGUAGCUUAGCAUUGAGUUUUGGUAUUGUCUGUACAGGAUAGGUGGGAGACUAGGAAACCAGGGCGUCAGCCUUGGUGGAGUCAACCUUGGGAUACCACCCUGACAGUACUGAAAUUCUAACUGGCGGCCAUGAAUCUGGUCACAGGACAUUGUUAGGUGGGCAGUUUGACUGGGGCGGUCGCCUCCUAAAAAGUAACGGAGGCGCCCAAAGGUUCCCUCAGAACGGUCGGAAAUCGUUCGCGGAAAUCGUUCGAAGAGUGCAAAGGCAGAAGGGAGCCUGACUGCGACACCCACAAGUGGAGCAGGGACGAAAGUCGGGCUUAGUGAUCCGGUGGUACCUCGUGGGAGGGCCAUCGCUCAACGGAUAAAAGCUACCUCGGGGAUAACAGGCUGAUCUCCCCCAAGAGUCCACAUCGACGGGGAGGUUUGGCACCUCGAUGUCGGCUCGUCGCAUCCUGGGGCUGAAGUAGGUCCCAAGGGUUGGGCUGUUCGCCCAUUAAAGCGGCACGCGAGCUGGGUUCAGAACGUCGUGAGACAGUUCGGUCCCUAUCCGUCGCGGGCGUAGGAAAUUUGAGAGGA
RNAcentral lists this ribosomal RNA (1510 nucleotides) under Bifidobacterium breve. RNAcentral's name for it is "partial 23S ribosomal RNA". It matches the Rfam family "Bacterial large subunit ribosomal RNA", at positions 1125 to 2670 of the family's 2925-position model. The record is from RNAcentral. Lineage: Bacteria; Bacillati; Actinomycetota; Actinomycetes; Bifidobacteriales; Bifidobacteriaceae.